This 426-nucleotide ribosomal RNA is filed under the name uncultured Legionella sp. RNAcentral describes it as "bacterial SSU rRNA". It matches the Rfam family "Bacterial small subunit ribosomal RNA", at positions 438 to 869 of the family's 1533-position model. Lineage: Bacteria; Pseudomonadati; Pseudomonadota; Gammaproteobacteria; Legionellales; Legionellaceae. The record is from RNAcentral.
UGAGGGUUGAUAGGUUAAGAGCUAGAUAAUUGGACGUUACCCACAGAAGAGCACCGGCUAACUCCGUGCCAGCAGCCGCGGUAAUACGGAGGGUGCAAGCGUUAAUCGAAUUACUGGGCGUAAAGGGUGCGUAGGUGGUCUGAUAAGUUAUCUGUGAAAUCCCUGGGCUCAACCUGGGCAGGUCAGAUAAAACUGUUGGACUCGAGUAUGGGAGAGGGUAGUGAAUUUCCGGUGUAGCGGUGAAAUGCGUAGAGAUCGAAGAACACCAGUGGCGAAGGCGGCUACCUGGCCCAAUACUGACACUGAGGCACGAAAGCGUGGGAGCAAACAGGAUUAGAUACCCUGGUAGUCCACGCUGUAAACGAUGUCAACUAGCUGUUGGUAAUAUGAAUAUUAUUAGUGGCGCAGCAAACGCGAUAAGUUGAC